Molecule: ribosomal RNA, 465 nt
Filed under: uncultured bacterium
Lineage: Bacteria
Description: partial 16S ribosomal RNA
Rfam family: Bacterial small subunit ribosomal RNA
Source: RNAcentral
GACGAACGCUGGCGGCGUGCUUAACACAUGCAAGUCGAACGGAAAGGCCCCUUUGGGGGUACUCGAGUGGCGAACGGGUGAGUAACACGUGAGUAACCUGCCCUUGACUUCGGGAUAACUUCAGGAAACUGGGGCUAAUACCGGAUAGGAAUCCUUGCUGCAUGGUGGGGGUUGGAAAGCUUCGGCGGUUUUGGAUGGACUCGCGGCUUAUCAGCUUGUUGGUGGGGUAGUGGCUUACCAAGGCUUUGACGGGUAGCCGGCCUGAGAGGGCGACCGGCCACAGUGGGACUGAGGUACGGCCCAGACUCCUACGGGAGGCAGCAGGGGGGAAUAUUGCACAAUGGGCGGAAGCCUGAUGCAGCAACGCCGCGUGCGGGAUGACGGGCUUCGGGUUGUAAACCGCUUUCAGCAGGGGCGAAGCUUGUGGUGACGGUACCUGCAGAAGAAGCACCGGCUAACUACGUG